Oryza rufipogon (brownbeard rice) is the source of this 204-nucleotide microRNA precursor. It matches the Rfam family "MIR812 microRNA precursor family". The record is from Rfam. NCBI's taxonomy places the organism in Eukaryota, Viridiplantae, Streptophyta, Magnoliopsida, Poales, Poaceae.
AAAAAAAAAAACCCCGAGUUUCCGUGCUCAAUGUUUCACCGUCCAUUUUGUUUGAAAAAAGUUAUGAAAAAAAUUAAAAAGACAAGUCACACAUAAAGUAUCAUGUUUUAACAUCUAACAACAAUAAAAAUACUAAUUAUAAAAAAAAUUUAUAUACGACGGACAGUCAAACGUUGGACACGGAAACUUAAGGUUUGUCUUUUU